AAGAUUUUUUCUCACAAAUUGAAAGGUCAUGGCCCUAUAUGUGUACGUAGUCAAAAACCCAUGCACAAAAGGAUAGAUGGCCUCCCAAAUUAAGUAAAUUAGAGAUGACAGGUAUGUACACUUCCACAGGUUACUCUCACAGGAUUUUGGGGUUAUAAAUAAGUAAAUUAGGGUUUCAAAUCAAUUUCACAUAGUAUUUUUAAGGAAACUCUAAGGUGCUGUGCCUUCUCCUUUCAAAGUCACUUACCAGAUAUCAUUCUUAUACCAUUAGAACCAGUAGAUUUAAAGUUGUUGCAACAAGAUCAACAAUUGCUAAUGAUCUAAAAUCUUUGAGUGAGAUUUCAAAGUCACAAACGUGGGUAUUUGUGAGCAACAGAUUCAAGAUAAAAGUGUCUGUGGAUUUGGAACUGCAUGUGAUCGUGCGAGAUUCAUCCCUAAAUUUUUUAUAAUUGGAAUACAUUAUAUAGCAUAUAUAUUCAAGAAAAUAAGAUUUAUUUGUUAGAAAAUUAGAUAUUGAUCGAGAUGGUUCGAAAAAUAAUUCACUAAUUUUUCUAUUACCAAUCGAUAGUUGAUUGCUGAAUUUUAUAACUUACUGAGAAUGAGAUUAAAAAAUAUAUAUCCAUAAUUUGGAGGAAAAGUGAAAGGCUGGUUUGUGCUAGGUUUUAUAGGAUGGCCCAAAAAGGUAAUUGGGUCCAAGCCCAAGCCCAAGCCCAAGCCCGCUCCAACGAUGCAGCUAGUUCAUGAGUUGACUCAGUUGAGUUGAGUUGAGUUGAGUCACGUUAUCUGGUCCGAGUCGUAUACCAAAACCCCUCUAACCCAAAACCAAAGCCCCAAAGCAAAACCAUUUCUUCAACUAUUAUAGGGAUAUGUCUGUUUCCUUCUCUUCCCUUCAGCUCUUCCGUCAAAAACCUCUCUUUUCUAGCCUUUAUUGGAACCAAAGGGCAACUGGGUUGUGGAGAAGCACAAAUUUUGUGAGGAGUAUUGCUGCUAAGGCAGGCCCAAAGAGGGUAUCUUUUGGUAAAGAAUGCAGGGAGGCCUUAGGACCUAGAGGUAUCUUUUGGUAAAGAAUGAUGGGAUUGAUAAGCUGGCUGAUGCUGUCUCUCUCACCUUAGGACCUAGAGGUAUCUGGGUAUUCUUCAUUUCUGUUUGUUUUGAUAGCUUUUUUAGGUUUCUACCAUUAUAUACCGUCUCUUACUCUCUUUAAGCUUUAGUUUUUGAGAACAAGAGGGAUUAUUCCAUUUUCUAUCUAUGCUUAUAUUGGUGAAGGGAUCAAUGAUAAGCCUACAGGUUAAAAAAUAUCUUGUCGGUGAUUCUUGCUCUAUCAUUUGCAAUGGAUACAUUAGUUUCAAUUGGAUGAUUGUUAUUUGGUAAUAGUUUGCCAAGUUUAAUUUGUUUUGUUUAUGUAGUGGUAAUAGUAAUGAGAAAUGUGCUGGAGGCUACACAUUAAAUUGAU
Molecule: long non-coding RNA, 1453 nt
Organism: Quercus lobata
Lineage: Eukaryota; Viridiplantae; Streptophyta; Magnoliopsida; Fagales; Fagaceae
Exons: 3
Source: RefSeq, a predicted model, not a curated record